RNAcentral lists this ribosomal RNA (39 nucleotides) under Bison bison bison. Lineage: Eukaryota; Metazoa; Chordata; Mammalia; Artiodactyla; Bovidae. The record is from RNAcentral.
UGAAGGCGCCCAAUCUCGUCUGAUCUCGGAAGCUAAGUA